GGUUUGACCAUGGAGAUAUGCGAGUAACGGACGGCGAGCUUGACCUCAGUCUAUUUCCGUGAUAGAAACACUGCAAGCUGCUCCAGUUUGCUGCUCUGCUGCAUCACAGACUGCUAAACACACCUGACUACAGGAGACAUUAGCUCAGACUGGCGGGGGUUGUUUAGUUGAUGCGGUUCGAGUACGGAUCACGUUCUCACCACAAACAAACUGCUCCAGAGUUUGAUUGACAGCGUACCGAGACCACCUCUUCAAGUAGGUCUUGGUAUGCUUGUUUGGUCUGCUUUUGGUGCGCACCAGAGUUUGAUUGCCGCAUUCUCACCUGGCCAAACUAGCCGCACCAGCGGGACAAACAAACUCUAGUUUCAUUCAACCAACCUAGUUCCAGGGUGAACACGCCCU
Etheostoma cragini (Arkansas darter) is the source of this 402-nucleotide long non-coding RNA. RefSeq lists it as uncharacterized. NCBI's taxonomy places the organism in Eukaryota, Metazoa, Chordata, Actinopteri, Perciformes, Percidae. The transcript has 3 exons. The record is from RefSeq and is a predicted model, not a curated record.